AGAGUUUGAUCAUGGCUCAGAACGUACGCUGGCGGCACGCCUAACACAUGCAAGUCGAACGAAGUAGCAAUACUUAGUGGCAGACGGGUGAGUAACAUGUAGGUAUCUGCCCUUUGGCCUGGAAUAACACGAGGAAACUUGUGCUAAUACCGGAUAAGUCUUUACGGAGAAAGCUUUAUGCACCAUUGGAUGAGCCUGCACUUGAUUAGUUUGUUGGUGGGGUAAUGGCCUACCAAGACUGUGAUCAAUAGCUGAUUUGAGAGGAUGAUCAGCCACAUUGGGACUGAGACACGGCCCAAACUCUUACGGGAGGCAGCAGUGGGGAAUCUUGCACAAUGGAGGAAACUCUGAUGCAGCGAUGCCGCGUGAGUGAAGAAGGCCCUUGGGUUGUAAAGCUCUUUCGUCGGGGAAGAAAAUGACUGUACCCGAAUAAGAAGGUCCGGCUAACUUCGUGCCAGCAGCCGCGGUAAUACGAAGGGACCUAGCGUAGUUCGGAAUUACUGGGCUUAAAGAGUUCGUAGGUGGUUGAAAAAGUUAGUGGUGAAAUCCCAGAGCUUAACUCUGGAACUGCCAUUAAAACUUUUCAGCUAGAGUAUGAUAGAGGAAAGCAGAAUUUCUAGUGUAGAGGUGAAAUUCGUAGAUAUUAGAAAGAAUACCAAUUGCGAAGGCAGCUUUCUGGAUCAUUACUGACACUGAGGAACGAAAGCAUGGGUAGCGAAGAGGAUUAGAUACCCUCGUAGUCCAUGCCGUAAACGAUGUGUGUUAGACGUUGGAAAUUUAUUUUCAGUGUCGCAGGGAAACCGAUAAACACACCGCCUGGGGAGUACGACCGCAAGGUUAAAACUCAAAUGAAUUGACGGGGACCCGCACAAGUAGUGGAGCAUGUGGUUUAAUUCGAAGAUACGCGCAGAACCUUACCAACACUUGACAUGUUCGUCGCGACUCUAAGAGAUUAGAGUUUUCGGUUCGGCCGGACGAAACACAGGUGCUGCAUGGCUGUCGUCAGCUCGUGUCGUGAGAUGUUGGGUUAAGUCCCGCAACGAGCGCAACCCUCACUUUUAGUUGCCAUCAUUAAGUUGGGCACUCUGAAAGAACUGCCAGUGAUAAGCUGGAGGAAGGUGGGGAUGACGUCAAGUCCUCAUGGCCCUUACGUGUUGGGCUACACACGUGCUACAAUGGUAUCUACAACAGGAAGCAAGACUGCGAAGUUAAGCAAAUCCCUAAAAGAUACCUCAGUUCGGAUUGCACUCUGCAACUCGAGUGCAUGAAGCUGGAAUUACUAGUAAUCGUGGAUCAGCGUGCCACGGUGAAUGCGUUCCCGGGUCUUGUACACACCGCCCGUCACACCAUGGGAGUUGGUUCUACCUUAAGGCAAGGUUUCAAACCCUUGACCACGGUAUAGUCAGCGACUGGGGUGAAGUCGUAACAAGGUA
RNAcentral lists this ribosomal RNA (1433 nucleotides) under uncultured Alphaproteobacteria bacterium. RNAcentral describes it as "uncultured alpha proteobacterium 16S ribosomal RNA". It matches the Rfam family "Bacterial small subunit ribosomal RNA". Lineage: Bacteria; Pseudomonadati; Pseudomonadota; Alphaproteobacteria. The record is from RNAcentral.